RNAcentral lists this ribosomal RNA (694 nucleotides) under uncultured Lachnospiraceae bacterium. RNAcentral's name for it is "bacterial SSU rRNA". It matches the Rfam family "Bacterial small subunit ribosomal RNA", at positions 70 to 769 of the family's 1533-position model. The record is from RNAcentral. Lineage: Bacteria; Bacillati; Bacillota; Clostridia; Lachnospirales; Lachnospiraceae.
GCUUUGAUGAAGUUUUCGGAUGGAUUUAAAACAGCUUAGUGGCGGACGGGUGAGUAACGCGUGGGUAACCUGCCUCACACUGGGGGAUAACAGUUAGAAAUAGCUGCUAAUACCGCAUAAGCGCACGGUUCCGCAUGGAACAGUGUGAAAAACUCCGGUGGUGUGAGAUGGACCCGCGUCUGAUUAGCCAGUUGGCGGGGUAACGGCCCACCAAAGCGACGAUCAGUAGCCGGCCUGAGAGGGUGAACGGCCACAUUGGGACUGAGACACGGCCCAAACUCCUACGGGAGGCAGCAGUGGGGAAUAUUGCACAAUGGGGGAAACCCUGAUGCAGCGACGCCGCGUGAGUGAAGAAGUAUUUCGGUAUGUAAAGCUCUAUCAGCAGGGAAGAAAGUGACGGUACCUGAAUAAGAAGCCCCGGCUAACUACGUGCCAGCAGCCGCGGUAAUACGUAGGGGGCAAGCGUUAUCCGGAUUUACUGGGUGUAAAGGGAGCGUAGACGGCAAGGCAAGUCUGAAGUGAAAGCCCGGUGCUUAACGCCGGGACUGCUUUGGAAACUGUUUGGCUGGAGUGCCGGAGAGGUAAGCGGAAUUCCUAGUGUAGCGGUGAAAUGCGUAGAUAUUAGGAAGAACACCAGUGGCGAAGGCGGCUUACUGGACGGUAACUGACGUUGAGGCUCGAAAGCGUGGGGAGC